This is an RNA transcript of Mus musculus (house mouse), 1778 nucleotides long. It is a transcript of the gene named testis-specific serine kinase 5, with no coding region annotated. NCBI's taxonomy places the organism in Eukaryota, Metazoa, Chordata, Mammalia, Rodentia, Muridae. The transcript is spliced from 7 exons. The record is from RefSeq and is marked validated.
CCUCCGUGGUCCCCCCACCCCCAAAAAAUGAUGAAAAGGCCUUUCUAUUCAAUCGCAUGCAGAGCGGCCCCCCAAAGCCACAUCCUAGUGCUAGCCCUUCAUACUCAUUCUCAUUCCACAGAAGAAGAACCCAGCAUUGGGUAGGGCUAAUCCAGAGAUGACAGGGCUUAAGAGGAUACCUUUGAGGGCACAAUGCAAGUGCAUCUCUAGAACCUUCUAUUCUAGAACCUACACCCAGUCCUUUGGAGUCUUUACUCUCCAAUCAGUCCAGAGCUGUGGAAGCCUCCUCCUGAGGCUCUCAACCUAUGCUCUUAGCCUAAAACCCAUUACGUCUUCAGAAACGUGACUCUUUUCUCCAAGGGGCAGCAGAUCCCUCCUGGCCUUCUGCUUCUCUGACCCUCUUGCCCUCUGAAACAAGUCAGACCUCAGCUGCGUCCCUUCCCCUGGCUGACGGGCAAUAAGCUGGCCCACCAAGCCCAGUUCUGUGGCGCCCUGCCUUCCAUGAGGAGCAGCAGCUGGCGCAAGUCGGAUCAGAGGGUGUUCAUAGAACAGGUUCGAGAAUGCAUGAACAACGGUUACUUGCUCUCCUCCAAGAAGAUCGGAUCUGGUGCUUUCUCCAAGGUCUACCUGGCCUAUGCAACACGUGAGCGAAUGAAGCACAACCCUAGGCUAUCCUCUGACUUGCGGGGCAAGCGCCACACUAUGGUGGCUAUCAAGAUUGUGUCCAUGGCUGAAGCCCCGGCGGAAUACUCCAGAAAGUUCCUGCCCCGUGAGAUUUUAUCACUCAAUGCUACCUACAAGCACAUGAACAUAGUUCAACUGUAUGAGACCUACCAGAACAGCCAGCGCUCCUACCUGGUACUGGAGUUGGCAGCUAGAGGUGACCUGUUGGAGCAUAUCAACGCAGUGUCAGACCUCCGAUGUUGCCCAGGACUGGAGGAGGAAGAAGCCCGAAGGCUGUUCUGGCAACUGGUCAGCGCUGUGGCCCACUGCCACAAUGUUGGCAUUGUACACAGGGACUUGAAAUGUGAAAAUAUCCUGUUGGAUGACCAGGGCUUCAUAAAGCUGACAGAUUUUGGCUUUGCCAACUGGGUGGGGCUCAAGAACUCCCUGCUGAGCACCUUCUGUGGCUCGGUGGCCUAUACGGCCCCAGAGAUCCUCAUGAGCAAGAAGUACAACGGUGAGCAGGCUGAUCUGUGGAGCCUAGGGAUCAUCCUCCAUGCUAUGGUGUCUGGGAAGCUGCCCUUCAAGGAACACCAGCCCCAUCGCAUGCUGAACCUGAUUCGUCGAGGUCCCAUCUUCAGGCCAGGGCUGUCCCCAGGUGAGCACCAUCACGCCACGCUCCUUCCAAGGCCCAGUUCCAGCCUGGAGGGUAGCGAGACCAGGACCACCGCGAUGAGAAUACGGUAUCACAUUACCCCCAUGUGCUGGAAAAGUACAGUCCUCGAACUGUAUGUUGGGGAAGUUGAGCUGUGGUGGGACUGACUUAGAGGGCUACCAAUCCUACUGAAUAUCUAACAUGGCACUUUUCUGGAAUACCACACCCCUCCUCUGCACCUCAGUCCCCUUUUGAUAAUAGCCCCCAAACCUUUGCCAGGACUAGUAGUGACUCCUGUCAAGCUGCCAACAUUUCUGACAGUAGCAGAGUGUGGGUCAGGAUUGUGGCAGGCUCCAGCAGUGAGCCCUCCCCUGUAGAGUGCCGGGACCUGAUCCGAGGGCUGCUUCAGCUGCAUCCAUGUGAACGUCUGGACCUACAGCAGAACAGGAUCAUUCCUGGU